GGCGUGUGAUCAACAAUUAUCACAGUGCCACGCCUCUAUGGUGGCGCACAUUUUUUUACUAACUAUCGUUUUCCCUUGUUUUAGCCGCGAUUGCCGUGAAAAUCCGCCGAAUCAAUUUUGUUACGGAGAAGAAGAAGAUGUUUUCUUCUUUGACGAACUCAAGACCUGCAAAUAUACAAUAGAGCAAAACAUGAGAAGGAGAGCAAAACGUGAGCAAGCUGACUACUAUUUUUGCUUUCUGCCCAUCUUUAAUUUCCUAGACGUCAUGGAGAGGUUAGUUAUUUUUUAUUUGAUAUUAUUACUUCUACUUGCUUGACUAUCUGCUAAUUCGCUACACGUAUGCACAAUUUACUUGUCUUAGGAAAUUUGCACCUAGAAAUUACUUGUAAUUAUUUAUUUUAUGGUUUAAGCAUUUAGGACAAAUAUAUAGAUAAUAAUUUUUUUUUUAUUGAAAAUUUAAGAUUUCACAUAUAGUUUAAAGCCUUAAAAGAUAGCAAUUUAGUUUAAUUAAUUUCAUUCUUAUCGAUUAAUAACCCAAUUAUCUCACAUAGUCAAAAUUCGGCUGGGACCCACAUUUGUGGACCUCGAAGAGUGCCUAACUCUUUCUCUUUGAGGUAAUUCGAACCCUUACCCGAUCUUUAGUGACGCAGACUGGUUUAACCGGAGUUAUCUGCGAAUAGGUGCCCUAACGCACCUUAAGAUCGUUAGGUGGCGACUCUUCUAUUUUAACACCCAUUUAAAAGAGUUGUUACACGUCGAAGCCCACUUUUAUGAGAAAACGGUGCGUGACAACAUGCUCCAAAAAGGCAACUGAGUCUAACCAAUAUUUGCAUUUUGAAAAUUUGGCAUAUAACUGAUUAUUCUUCAAAGUCCGAAGCACAGUCCGAAGAUGUUGCUCAUGCUCCUCUCGACUGCUGGAGUAAAUCAAGAUGUCAUCAAUGAAUACAACCACAAAGGAAUCCAGAUAGGGCUUGAACACCUGGUUCAUCGAAUCCAUAAAUGUUGCUGGGGCAUUUGUCAGCCCAAAUGACAUCACUAGAAAUUCAUAAUGUCCAUACCUAGUCCGAAAAGUUGUCUUAGGGACAUCAGAUGCCCUAAUCUUCAACUGAUGAUAGCCAGACCUCAAGUUAAUCUUCGAAAAUAACUUGGCACCCUAAAGGUGAUCGAAUAAGUCAUCAAUUCCUGGCAACGGAUACUUGUUCUUGAUAGUAGACUUGUUCAACUGCCGAUAAUCUAUACACAUCCGCAUUGAACCAUCUUUCUUCUUUACAAAUAACACUGGUGCACCCCAGGGUGAGACGCUAGGUCUAAUGAAUCCCUGGUCAAGCAAGUCUUGUAACUGCUCCUUCAAUUCCUUUAGUUCCGGCGGAACCAUACGGUAUGGUGGAAUAGAAAUGGGCUGGAUGCUCGGAGCCAAAUCAAUACAGAAGUCAAUAUCUCUGACGGGUGGCAUCCCCGGCAAAUCUGCAGGAAAUACUUCUGGAAAUUCACGAACAACUGGUACUGAGUCCAUAGAAGGAACAUCCGCACUAGGAUCGCGAAUAUAAGCCAAAUAGGCUAGACACCCCUUCUCGACCAUACGCUGAGCUUUCACGUAAGAGAUAACCCUGCUGGUGGAAUGGCCAUGAGUCCUUUUCCACUCUAUUCGAGGUAACCCCGGCAUGGCUAAGAUCACCGUUUUGGCGUGACAAUCCAAUAUAGCAUAAUAGGGUAACAACCAAUCCAUACCCAAGAUGACAUCAAAAUCCACCAUAUCAAGGAGUAGAAGAUCCACGCUAGUCUCAAGACUCCCAAUAAUAGCUACACACGAACGAUAGACAUGAUCUACCAUAACAGAAUCUCCCACUGGUGUGGACACACAUACAGGAGCACUCAAAGAAUCACGAGGCACAACCAAAUAUGAAGCAAAGUAGGAGGACACAUAAGAAUAAGUAGAUCCUGGAUCAAAUAAAACUGAAGCAUCUCUAUGGCAAACUGGAACAAUACCUGUGAUCACAGCAUCGGAUGACUCGGCCUCAGGCCUAGUUGGAAAAGCAUAAAAUUGGGGCUGGGCCCCACCACUCGGAGCUACAUCUCUGGGACAGCCUCUAACUAGCUGUCCUCCACCUCUAACAACCUUACCUCCACCUCUAACUGUCUGACCCCUGCCCCUAGCUGGUCGGGCGGGCGGUGGAGCAACCGGUGCUGGUAUGAUGGCACGAGAAUCCUGCUGAGAUCUGUUGCUCGACAACCUAGGGAAAUACCUCCUAAUGUGACCAAUGUUCCCAUACUCAUAACACCCAUCCUGUUGUCGUGGCUGUUGAAGCUUAAGCUGACCCGAACAGGUCGGAUAGCCACCAUAGUGACUCUAGAGUGGUGGUGCACUGAUAGGAGCUAGAUGUGCACUAAAUGUCGGUUGCCCAGAGUAAGGCAUAAUAGGACCAUGACUCUCUGAAGCACCGUGAGAUGCCUGAAGUGCUGAAAAAAAUGGCCUGGGAUAAUGACCCCUACCAUAAGUACCCCUGCCUCCAGAUGAGGCGCCUCUGAAAUUAUCGGAAUGACGGGGCCUUUAUCUUACACUGGCCCUCUCUCCUGUGAAAGAACCAUCUCGAUCCGCCUGGCGACAUUAGUAGCCAUCUGAAAAGAAAUCUCACUCCCGGUCUCCUUGGCCAUCUGUAGCUUGAUAGGUUGAACGAGUCCAUCAAUGAACCUCCUCAACGUCUCUCUCUCGGUAGGAUCAGAAGAAGAGCAUGAUGGGCUAUAUCCACUAANNNNNNNNNNNNNNNNNNNNNNNNNNNNNNNNNNNNNNNNNNNNNNNNNNNNNNNNNNNNNNNNNNNNNNNNNNNNNNNNNNNNNNNNNNNNNNNNNNNNNNNNNNNNNNNNNNNNNNNNNNNNNNNNNNNNNNNNNNNNNNNNNNNNNNNNNNNNNNNNNNNNNNNNNNNNNNNNNNNNNNNNNNNNNNNNNNNNNNNNNNNNNNNNNNNNNNNNNNNNNNNNNNNNNNNNNNNNNNNNNNNNNNNNNNNNNNNNNNNNNNNNNNNNNNNNNNNNNNNNNNNNNNNNNNNNNNNNNNNNNNNNNNNNNNNNNNNNNNNNNNNNNNNNNNNNNNNNNNNNNNNNNNNNNNNNNNNNNNNNNNNNNNNNNNNNNNNNNNNNNNNNNNNNNNNNNNNNNNNNNNNNNNNNNNNNNNNNNNNNNNNNNNNNNNNNNNNNNNNNNNNNNNNNNNNNNNNNNNNNNNNNNNNNNNNNNNNNNNNNNNNNNNNNNNNNNNNNNNNNNNNNNNNNNNNNNNNNNNNNNNNNNNNNNNNNNNNNNNNNNNNNNNNNNNNNNNNNNNNNNNNNNNNNNNNNNNNNNNNNNNNNNNNNNNNNNNNNNNNNNNNNNNNNNNNNNNNNNNNNNNNNNNNNNNNNNNNNNNNNNNNNNNNNNUUGGCCAUCUGUAGCUUGAUAGGUUGAACGAGUCCAUCAAUGAACCUCCUCAACGUCUCUCUCUCGGUAGGAAUCAGAAGAAGAGCAUGAUGGGCUAUAUCCACUAAGCGGGUCUCAUACUGAGUGACUGACAUACUGCCCUGCUGGAGACGCUCAAACUGUUUGCGGUAAUCCUUUCUCAAUGUGAUAGGGAGGAACUUCUAUAGAAAUAGCCAUGAGAACUACUCCCAUGUAAGUGCAGGCGAACCAACUGGUCUAGUAAAUACAUAAUCUUUCCACCACCUCUUGGCGGAAUCGCUCAUCUGAAACACAGCAAAAUCAAUCCCAUUGCUUUCGACUAUCCCCAUGUUCUGCAAUACUUCAUAGCAGCGGUCAAGAAAAUUCGGUGGGUCCUCAGAAGGUGUACCACUGAAAUGGAUUGGAAAUAGCUUGGUAAACUUGUCCAACCUCAACAAAGACUCAGAAGACAAAGCAGGCCUAUCACCGGUCUGUGCUGCAAUAACUGGUUGAACUACCCCCCAACUGGAUGGGCUACUGGAGCCUGAUACUGGGGAGUUUUUUGCUCCGGAGCGGGAGUAGUGGGAGUCUAUGCUCCUCCCCUAGCAUGUGAGACGGCUGGUGCCACUUGAAAUGCGUCAUUCUGGGCCACGCCCUCCAUAAGACUCACCAAAUGGACUAGAACGUCCUGAAGCACUGGAGUAGCUAUGAAUCCUUCCGGGGCCUGAACUGGUCCAACGGGUACAAUCUGAACUGGAACCUCCUGCUGAAGAACCACUUGAGGUUCCACUACGGGUGCUGCUGCUCGAGCUCUAACUUGAGCUCUGCCUCUGCCUCUGCCUCUGCCUCUACCUCGGCCUCUACCCCUGGUCAUAGUUUCCACUGGGGGCUCUGGUCCCUGUCCGUCGGUAGAUAUAUUAUGUGUUCUCACCAUCUGCGAGAGAAUAAGAACAGAAUGGUUCAAUCAUCGAUGAUAGAAUAAAAUCGCAUGACAGAAUAAGAAAGAAGUGAUAUUGUUCCUAAACUUUAUAGCCUCUGAGAUAUAAGUACAGACAUCUCCGUACCGUUCCUUCAUACUCUACUAAGCUUGCUCGUGACUCGUGAGACCUAAGUAACCUAGUGCUCUGAUACCAACUUGUCAUGACCCGAAAUUCCAACCUUCCGGACAGUGAUGGCGCCUAACAUUUCACUUGCUAGGCAAGCCAACGUUAGAAUAAUAUUAGCCAUUUUUAAAUAAUUUUAAAAAUUAAUUAAUAACAAAGAAACAAAUGCGGAAAUAAAGUCUGAAAUAAAGUGAAUAAUCCAUAAUAAUAGCGAUGUCUAAAAUACCAUCCCAGAACUGGUGUCACAAGUGCAUGAGCUACUAGAAUAAUACAAAUAAAGGUCUCAAUAAAUAAAUGAAGUUGUCUAAAAGAAAUACACAACUACGAUAAAGUGGAAGGGGACUUCAGAACUGCGAACGCCAUGCAGUUAUACCUCAAGUCUCCUGUGAAUAGCUAAAUCCGAGCAAAUCUACUGUAUGCCACUGGGACCAACUCUAGUAUCUGCACAAGAAGUGCAGAAUGUAGUAAGAGUAUAACCGACCCCAUGUACCCAGUAAGUUUAGAGUCUAACCUCGACGAAGUAGUGACUAGGCUAAGGCAAGUCACUUAUAUUAACUUGUGCGGAAUAAUAAUAAUAGCAACAAUAAAAGAAAUAAAACAGGUAUCUCAUUUCAACAGUUGAAGCCAACUCGGCAGUCAUAACCAAUUAUUAUUUCAAUCAGUUUUCGUUGCAGCGUGCAACCCGAUCACACAAUAUAUUCAUAUUCAAUUCCAUUGCGACGUGCAACCCAAUCCCACAAUAUAUUCAUUUUUAUUUAAUCUCGUUGCGGCGUGCAACCCGAUCCUCAAUAUAUCUUUUCAAUCAAUUCUCUUGCGGCGUGCAACCCGAUCCUCCAAUAUAUUCAUUUCAUCAAUUCUGUUGCGGCGUGCAACCCGCUCCUCCAAUAUAUUCAUUUCAUUAAUUUCGUUGCGGCGUGCAACCCGAUCCCACAAUAUAUAUAAUUUAUCAAUUCUUAUAAAAGAAAUUACUCCAAUAAAUGCAACAAUUAAUAUAAAAUUAUAAGACAACAAGCAUACAAUAAUUAUGAUUUAUUUAGAAAUAAGUGAUGACAAGUAGCAAUUAAUUGUGGAAAUUAAGGAGGAAAUAAGUAAUUUAAUAAUUAGUAUGCUAAAUGUCAAGUAGCAAUUAAGUCACAUAAAUCAAAUAAGCAUGUAGCAAUUAUAGCAUGGAUUCAAGGAAUAAUAUUGAUCAAGGAAUAUGAGAGAAACAAUUAAUAUAAUAAUUAAUUCAUGAUUUAAAAUAAUUUAUGAUUUUUAAAUAAUUAUGCAAACAAUUAAUUUGACGACGUAUAGACACUCGUCACCUCGCCUAUACGUCGUUCACAUGAAUUUCACAUAACAAAUAAUUCAAGGGUUCUAUUCCAUCAAGUCAAGGUUAACCACGACACUUACCUCGCUUCGCAACCAAUUUCAAGAUUCCAAUAAAUAUUUGCCUCGUGAAUUCAUGUCCGAAAGCUUCAAAUCUAGUCACAAACAAUUCAAUAUACUCAACACGAAUCAUAGGAAUUAAUUCCAUAUGAGUUUACUAAUUUUUCGGAAUAAAAUCCGAAAUUCAUUUUAAAAAUCGAUAGUGGGACCUAUGUCUCGAAUCCCGAGAAAACUCACAAAAUUCGAACAUCCGUUUCGAUACGAGUUCAACCAUACAAAAAUUAUCGAAUUCCGACAUCGGAUUGACCUUCAAAUCAUCAUUUUACAUUUUUGGAAGAUUUUAUAAAAAUCUGAUUUUUCUUUCAUAAAUUCACGGAUUCAUGAUGUAAAUGAAUAUGGAAUCAUGAAAUAUAAUCAAUAUAAGAUAAGGAACACUUACCCCAAUGUUUACCCGUAAAAAUCACCCAAAAAUCGCCUUACCCGAGCUCAAAAUCGUGAAUAAUAAAAAAUGGGACGAAAUCCCAUUUCCAGAGCUUAAGUUCUGUUGUCCAGGGAUUUCUUCUUCGCGAACGUGACAGGUCCCUCGCGUUCGCGAAGCACAUUUUGUGUUGCCCCAGAUUUCUUAUUCGCGAACGCGAGGGCAGUCUAGUGAAUACGAUGCUUUUCCAAGCUUGGCCUUCGCGAACGCGGUCUCCCCUUCGCGAACGUGAAGCCUUAUCACCUGGUGCCCAGCCAUGCCUCACCCUUCUACGCGAACGCUCCCACGCAUUCGCGAUGAACACUGCCCAUUACCCUUUGCUAACGCAGUUCCCUCUUCGCAAACGCGAAGAGUAAAUUUCGCUUGCCUAGAUUUCUUCUUCGCGAACGCAAGACCCCUCCCGCGAACGCGAAGAAGGAAACCAGACAGUGCAUCAGAAAAAUUCCAGCAAAGUUCCAAGUCCAAAAUUCAACCCGUUAACCAUCUGAAACUCACCCGAGUCCCCCGGGACCUCAACCAAAUACACCAACAAGUUCUAAAAUAUCAUACGAACUUAGUCGAAACCUCAAAUCAUAUCAAACAACGCUAAAACCACGAAUCAUACCUCAAUUCAAGCUUAAGGAACUUAAGAAUUAUCAAUCUCUACAUUCGAUACUGAAACCUAUCAAAUCAAGUCCGAUUGACCUCAAAUUUUGCGCACAAGUCAUAAAUGACAUAACGGACCUAUGAAAAUUUUCAGAACUGGAUUCCGACCCGGAUAUCAAUAAAAUUCAAUUUGUUGUCAAACUUUAAAAUCUUUAAGCCUUUAAGUUUCUAGUUUUCGUCAACUGGUGAUAAUUCAAGUUAGGGACUUCAAAAUUAAAUUUCGGGCAUACGCCCAAAUCCCAAAUCAUGAUACGAACCUAUCGGAACAGUAAAAUACUUAUCCAAGUUUGUUUGUUCAAAAUGUUAAUCAAAGUCAACUCAGUUGAGUUUUAAAGCUCUAUUUCAUAUUUUAAUCAAUUUUUCACAUAAAACCUUUCCGGAAAAUUAUACGGAUAGCGCACGCAAGUCGUGAAAAGCUAAAUGGUGCUAAUUGAGGUUUUAGAACACAUAAAUAAUAUUUAAAAUUAAAGAUGACAUAUUGGAUCAUCACAAGGAGGAUCUCCCGAAGAACCGCCUCAUAGUCCCAAAGUAAAUAUGCAGAACUAGGGGAUCUCCCGAGUAAACACCUCGUAGUCUGUACAUGGGGGAUCUCCUGAGUAAACGCCUCGUAGUCCCAAAGUAAAUAUGAGGUAUAGGGGGGGAUCUCCCGAGUAAACGUCUCGUAGUCCCAAAGUAAAUAUGCAGUACAUGGGAAUCUCUCGAGUAACCGCCUCGUAGUCCCAAAGUAAAUAUGCAGCAGGUAAUCGAAGGAAAACACAAAUUUCAGCAAGAAUCUUACAGUUAAAUAUUUAAUUUAAAUUAAGGAAAAAGAGGUAAUUCAACUAAGCAUGUUGCACAAAUUGCAAGUAAGAGUUAAGUCACGUAGACAUGCGAUACUAGGCUAAACAUGGUCACUACAUAUGCUAAGGCAACUCAGUUAAUGUGUUUUGAAAGAAGACAACUCGGUUAAGGAAAUUCAAAAGAUGACAAAUCAGCAAGAACCGAAUUUUCCAUAUUCAGCCCGUGUAUGCACUCGUCACCUCGCGUACACGGCGCUCACAUAUCACAAAUGGUUACAACAGUUUCAAAACCUAGGGGGAUUUUCCCCUACACAAGGUUAGACAAGUCACUUACCUCAAAUGUCGCUCAAUCAAUCAGUAGGAAUGUCUUUCCCUCGAUUUUCUGACUCUGAAUGGAACAAAUCUAGCCAAAAGCAAUUUCAUAACAUGAAUAUAAUUAAAAGAAACUAAUUUAAAUCAUAAAUCUACGACUUUAGCAAGGAAUUGAAAAAUCGCCCCAAAAAGUCGACCCGGACCCACGUCUCAGAAUCGAGUAAAAGUCACAAAAUAUGAACACCCAUUCAAUAUCGAAUUCACCCAUACCAAAACUAUCAAAUUCUGAUGCCAAGUCGCCCCUCAGAUCCCCAAAUUACACUUUCCAAAUCCCUAGCCUCAACUCCCACAUUCCACCUUAAACACACAUACUCUAGGUGAGGAAAACAACGGGGAAACAAGAUUAUUGAUCAAAAAUAAGCACAAGGGACUUACCUCAAGAAAUCCCUCGAAAAUGCUCUCAAAAAUCGCCAAACCCCAGCUCAAUGUCCAACAAAUGAUAAAAAUCCCGAGCCCUUGAAUUUACAAAAUCUGCCCAGGUUUUCCGCUUUUGCGGAUCAAAUUUCGCUUCUGCGGUACCGCUUUUGCAGAGAAGUCUCCGCAUCUGCAGAGUUCACUUGAAUCCCCAGGUUUUGCACCUGCGCGUAAAUCUCCACAUCUGCGGAUGUUCUUCUGCGGUCCCUCGUCUGCUUCUGCGGAAGCCUCCCCAAGCACUCACCCGCUUCUGCGAUCGAUUCCCCGCAGAAGCGACUCCGCUUCUGUGGCCCUCACACUGCACAUGCGACCACUGGUCAAUUACACUAGCUCUGCAUCUGUGCCCCAUUGCUCGCACCUGCGGUCAACCUUGCGCAGGUGCGAUUACACCAGAACCAGCCCAGCACCAGCAAAUCUUCUAAGUCUAAAAAUGAUUCGUUAACCAUCCGAAACUUACCUGAGACCCCCGGGACCUCAACCAAAUAUACCAACAAGACCUAAAAUAUCACACGAACUUAGUCGAGCCUUUAAAUCACAUCAAAUAACACUAAAAAUACGAAUUACACAUUGAUUCAAGCCUAAUGAACUUCAAAGUUUCAAACUUCUACAUCCGAGGCAGAAACCUAUCAAAUCAAGUCCGAUUGACUUCAAAUUUUGUACAGAAGUCAUAAUUGACAUUACGGACCUAAAGCCUAUUUGGAUGGGCUUAAAAGCUGGUCUAAAAGCUGGUCAAACUAGCUUUGACCUGCUUUUAAGCACUUUUUAACUUCUUGAAGUGUUUGGCAGCCAAAAAAGGGCUUAAAAGGUAAAAUUUGCUUUAAAAAAGCCAAAACCAACCCAACUUUUUCGAAAUUGGCUUAAAACCCAUAUUGCUUUGACCAAGGAUAUUAUAUUCUUAUCUCUUGUAAUUUUUCUUAAUCUCGAAAUUACCCCUCAGUAGAAAACUCAAAAUUGCAGCCUCUCCUUUCUUCUUCCUCCCAAAUCUGCAGCAUAUGCUUUCUUCUUCCUCUUCUUCCAUAACUUUCCCUAACUUCAACUCCAAUUUUGAAAGCCUCUUCAAUCCAUGUAAGUAUAAUAUUCCUGUUGAAUUUCAAUCCCUGGAGUGUUUUCAAAGUUUUGGAAUUAUGAAUAUCAUAAACAAGUCUUGGUUUUAAAUUUUUACCAUAACUUUCCCCAACUUCAACUCCAAUUUUGAAAGACUCUUCAAUCCACGUAAGUAUAAUAUUCCUGUUGAAUUUCAAACCCUGGAGUGUUUUCAAAGUUUUGGAAUUAUGAAUAUCAUACACAAGUCUUGGUUUUAAAUUUUUACCCAUUAAAAAUUGAAUACUACUAUGAUUUGUUUAUAGGAUGUACUAUAGAUUCUUGAUUUGUGUAGUUGCCCAAUUUACUCCAUUUGUAUAUGCUCUUUCAUAUGGUUUAAGACUUGACUCCAAUUUAUAUGACAUCAUUUCUUUGUUAGUUUCCCAAUUUACUCCAUUUUUAUCUUUUUAACAGAAAAAAAUGCUUACCAGUACUUGUUUACCAAACACUACAAUAGUUUUUUUUAAGCUUCAGCACUUUUAUCCAAACAGAUAACUGCUUAUUUAUAAAACAAGUUCCAGUACUUAAAAGCUGCUUUUAAGCACAAGUGCUUAAAAGCUACUUUUUUCCAGCUAAUCCAAACGGGCUCCUACUCCAACUUUCAGAAUCGGAAUCCGACCUCGAUAUCAAAAAGUCCACUCAGAGUUAAACUUCUCAAAAUCAUCAUUUUUCCAACUUUCGCCAAUUAGCGCUAAAAUGACCUACGGACCUCCAAUUCAACAUCCGAACAAUCUCCUAAGACCAAAAUUACCCUAUGGAGCUAUAGGAACCGUCAAAACUCUAUUCCGGAGUCGUCUUCACACAGUUCAAACUACAGUCAAUUCCUAUGACUUAAAGCUCCAUUUUAGGGACUAUGUGUCCCAUUUCACUCCGAAACCAAAAUAAAUCCUCCCGGCAAGUCACAAAACCCAAAAAUAAAUUAGAGGGAAUAGUAAAUAUGGUUUCGGGACUAAUUUCCUCAAUACGACCGGAUGGGUCGUUAUAUCCUCCCUUUCUUAAAACAAAUAUUCGUCCUCAAACGAGUGUAGAGACACGCUUGAAGUGGUGAAAAGAUGAGGAUAAUUUUUUCACAUAUCAUGCUCGGUCUCCCAUGUCGCCUCCUCGACCGGAUGACCCCUCCACUGAACUUUCACUGAAGCAAUAUUUUUUGACCUCGACUUUCGAACCUGUCUGUCCAAAGUGGGCACAAGCUCCUCAACAUAAGAUAGAUCAUUGUCCAACUGGACUGAGCUGAAGUCUAACACAUGAGACGAAUGGCCGUGAUACUUUCGGAGCAUGAAAACAUGGAACACUGGAUGAAUUGCAGAGAGACUAGGCGGUAGUGCAAGUCUAUAAGCCAUUUCUCCAGUCCUCUCAAGAAUCUCAAAAGGCCCGAUAUACCUAGGUCUCAACUUGCCCUUCUUUCCGAACCUCAUAACACCCUUCAUGGGAGAAACCCGGAGCAAGACCCGCUCUCCAACCAUGAAUGCAACGUCGCAAACCUUCCGAUCUGCAUAACAAUUCUACCUGGACUGGGCUGUACGAAGUCGAUCCUGAAUCAAUUUAACCUUCUCCAAGGCAUCCUGAACCAAGUCUGUACCUAAUAGCCUAGCCUCGCCCGGCUCGAACCAACCCACUGGAGAGCGGCACCGUCCACCAUACAAAGCCUCAAACGGCCCCAUCUGAAUGCUCGACUGAUAACUGUUGUUGUAGGCAAACUCCACAAGUGGCACAAACUGAUUCCAAGCACCUCCAAUAUCUGAAUAGUAUGCUCGGAUUGUCCGUUCGUCUGAGGGUGAAAUGUUAUAUUCAACUCCACGCGAGUACCCAACUCAUGUUGUAUGGCUCUCCAGAACCGUGAUGUAAACUUCGUACCCCGGUCAGAGAUGAUAAAUACCGGUACGCCAUGAAGUCUGACAAUCUCGCGGAUGUAAACAUGAGCCAGCUGCUCCGAAGAGUAAGUAGUAACCACAGGAAUGAAAUGAGCUGACUUGGUCAAUCUAUCCACAAUCACCCAAACCGCAUCGAACUUCCUCUGAGUCCGUGGGAGCCCAACAACAAAAUCCAUAGUGAUCCUCUCCCAUUUCCACUUUGGAAUCUCCAUCUUCUGAAGUAAUCCACCCGGUUGUUGAUGUUCAUACUUCACCUGCUGACAAUUUAGGCAACGAGCUAUAUAUUUCACUAUGUCCUUCUUCAUCCGCCUUCACCAAUAGUGCUACCUCAAGUCUUGAUACAUCUUCGCGGCACCUGGAUGAAUGGAGUACCGUGAACUAUGAACCUCUUGGAGGAUCAACUCACGCAAACCAUCUACAUUAGGCACACAUAGCAUGCCCUGCAUCCGUAAUACACUGCCAUCUCCAAUAGUUACUUCCUUGGCAUCACCGUGUUGAACUGUGUCCUUAAAGACAAGCAGAUAGGGGUCAUCAUACUGACGCUCCCUGAUGCGAUCAUAAAGAGAAGACUGAGAAACCACACAAGUCAAAACUCUGCUCGGCUCGGAAACAUCCAAUCUGACAAACUGGUUGGCCAAGGCCUGAACAUCCAAGGCUAAACUACCCAAACUCUCCGCUACUAGUAGAUAUGCUAAACUACCCAAACUCUCCGCCUUGUGACUCAAGGCAUCGGCCACCACAUUGGCCUUCCCGAGAUAAUAGAGAAUGGUGAUGUCAUAAUCCUUAAGCAACUUCAACCAUCUCCACUACAGCAAGUUAAGAUCCUUCUGUUUAAACAGAUGUUGUAGACUCCAGUGAUCGGUGAAAACCUCACAAGGAACACCAUAUAAAUAGUGUCGCCAGAUCUUCAAGGCAUGAACAAUAGCUGCUAACUCGAGGUCGUGAACAGGAUAAUUCUUCUCAUGAACCUUCAACUGUCUGGACGUGUACGCAAUCACCCUACCAUCCUGCAUCAACACUGCGCCGAGACAAUGCGCGAUGCAUCACAAUACACUGUGUAGGACCCCGAUCCGGUAUCUAACACUAAUAUUGAGGUUGUAGUCAAAAUAGUAUUGAGCUUUUGAAAGCUCUCCUCACACUCCUCGGUCCACCUGAACGGAGCACCCUUCUGGGUCAAUCUGGUCAUAGGUGAUGCAAUAGAUGAGAAACCCUCUACAAAUCGAUGGUAAUACCCCGCCAAGCUAAGAAAACUCCGGAUAUCCGUAGCUGAGGAUGGUCUGGGCCAACUCUGCACUGCUUCAAUCUUCUUCGGGUCUACCUUGAUCCCCUCACUCGAUACUACAUGACCCAAAAAUGCCACUGAAUCUAGCCAGAACUCACACUUCAAAAACUUUGCAUACAAUUCUUCUCCCUCAAGGUCUAAAGCAUAGUCCUCAGGUGCUACUCAUGAUCCUCCCGACUCUGGGAGUACACCAGAAUGUCGUCAAUAAAUACAAUAACGAAGGAGUCAAGAUAGGGCUGAAAUACAUUGUUCAUCAAGUGCAUGAAUAUUGCUGGGGUGUUGGUCAGCCCAAAAGACAUCACAAGGAACUCGUAAUGACCAUACUGAGUCCUGAAAGCAGUCUUGAAGAUAUCUGGCUCCCGAAUCUUCAACUGAUGAUAGCCUAAACGCAAGUCGAUCUUAGAGAAUACUCUGGUACCCUGAAGCUGAUCAAAUAGGUCAUCAAUAUGUGGCAAGGGAUACAUGUUCUUCACUGUAACUUUGUUCAACUGCCGAUAUUCAAUACACAUUCUCAUAGAACCAUCCUUCUACUUCACAAACAAGACAGGAGCACCCCAUGGUGACACACUGGGCCGAAUGAAGCUCUUAUCCAGCAACUCUUGCAACUGUUCCUUUAACUCUUUCAACUCUGCUGGGGCCAUAUGAUAAGGUGGAAUAGAAAUGAACUGAGUGCCCGGUAACAAAUCAAUACCAAAGUCAAUAUCUUUGUCAAGCGGCAUGCACGGAAGAUCUGCUGGAAAUACGUCUGCAAAAUCCCUCACGACCGGACCUAACUCGACAGUAGGAGUAUCAACACUAACAUCUCUCACAUAGGCCAGAUAUGCAUCACACCCCUUCUCAACCAUUUGCUGAGCUUAAAAAAAUGAAAAAACCCUGUUAGGAACAUGAUCCAAGGUACCUCUCCACUUUAGUCACGGUAGACCUGGCAUAGCCAACGUCACGUCUUGGAAUGACAAUCAAGGAUAUCGUGAUAGGGCGACAACCAGUUCAUGCCCAAAAUAACAUCGGAAUCCACCAUACUAAGCAAUAAUAAAUUGUCUUUGGUCUCAAAACCACUAAGAACAAUCAAAUAUGACUGAUACACACGGUCAACAGCAAUGGAAUCACCCACCGGUGUAGAUACAUAAAUAGGUGAACUCGAAGAAUCACGGGAUACACCCAAAUACGAAGCAAAAUAAGAUGACACAUAGGAAUAAGUGGAGCCUGGAUCAAAUAAGACUGAUGCAUCUCUAUGACAGACCGGAACAAUACUUGUGAUAACAGAAUCUGAUGCAACUGCCUCUGUCCUAGCAGGAAAGGCAUAAUAUCUGGCCUUCUCCCUCUAGGGCGACCUCUACCUGUCCGACCUCCACCUCCAACUGGUUGUGCAUGUGGGGUGGUAGCUGGUGAUGUAAUCAUACCUGAGGACCAGGUAGAGCAUGUGAUGCCUGAGAAACCUGUGGAGGUGCACCCCUACUGAAUCUGGGGCAAUCCAUCACCAAAUGACGAGUGUCACCGUACUCAAAACAAGCUCUCACAGGACAUGGCUGUUGUGACUGGCUCGGGAUUGAUCGACUGGACUGACCACUGGAAGCACCCCGUACAUGAGGCGCACUAGACACUGGCGGUGCAUAAUAAGGAUCAUGGGCCUAGUAGUGGCUAGAGCACCACUGGCAGCUUGAAGUGCUGAAUGAACAGGGCGAUCCAUAUAACCUCUGCCCUGACGAGCUGUAGCUGGGGCACGAGUACCACUAUAAGUGCCAGACUCUCGAGACCUCUUCGCCUCUGUUUCCUCUCUAUCCCGAGUCAACAUGCCCUCCUACCUCCUAGCAAUCCCUACUACCUUCUGGUACGUAAUAUCCAUCUCCAACUUGCGGGUCAUGCUUAAUCUGAUACUGGGAUUGAGCCCCUCAAUGAACCGACGAACCCACUCUCGAACAGUAGCGACCAGGGCUGGUGCAUGCCUCGCCAAAUCACUAAAUCGGACCGCAUAUUCUUCUACGGUCAUAACACCCUGGCGCAAAUGCUCAAACUCCGCGGGCCAAGCAUUCCUGAUACUCUGGUAACAUACUCCCUCAAGAACAUGUCUGAGAACUGAUUCCAAGUGAGCGAAGCUACCUCAGCCGGACUAUCCAACUAGUAUAUGCACCACCACUGGUAGGCCGCUCCUCUAAGUUGGAAUAUAGUGAAAGAAACCCCACUAGUCUCCGCAACACCCAUAGUAUGGAGGAUACGGUGGCACUCCUCAAGAAAACCCUAGGCAUCCUCUGACGCCAAGCCACUAAAAGUAGGUGGGUGGUACUUCUUGUACCUCUUGAGUCUGAGCUGCUCUGGCUCAGAAGUUGCUGCCCUAACCUCGGGCUGAACUGGAGCUACCGGCUGUAUCGGUAUGAUCUCUAGAUCCUGGUCUACCUGAACCCGCUACUCUGGGGUACCGGCGACGGGAGUCUGUGCUCCUCCCCUGGCCUAAGAUGUGGCAGGAGCAAGAGGUAUCAAUCCUGCCGAAGCCAAGGUACUGAACAUGCUCAAGAACUGGGCUAGAGUAUCCUGGAGGGCUGGUGCAGUAACAUGCAUCUCGGGUGCCUGCCCUCCAACUGGAGCUACUGGUGGCUCCUCUGUGAUAGCUCGUGCAAGUGUUCUGACUGCACCACGUGGAUGUCCUCGGCCUCUACCUCGGCCCCGGUCCCGGCCUCUCGCGUCUCUAGCAGGGGGCAUGGGUAUCUGAUCAUCCGAUCUAGUUAUAUGUGUCCUCACCAUCUGUGAGAGAAUAGAAAGAUAGAAGUUUAGAGCACGAUAAGGAAAUCAAGAAAGUGAAACUUUUCCUAACAAUUCCAUAGCCUCCCAAAGAUAAGUACAGACGUCUCUGUACCGAUCCGCGAGAUUCUACUAAACCUGCUUGUGACUCAUAACACCUAUGAACCUAGAGCUCUGAUACCAACUUGUCAUGACCCCAUUUUUUCCUAUGUAGGACGUCGUGAUGGCACCUAGUCUCUAAGACUAGGUAAGCCUACAAAUAUGCGGAAUCAAUGAAUAAUAAAUUGAACUCCAAUUUCAACACAUGAUAUAUAAAUAUAAAACUGCCAUUCAAUAAAUACAACUCCCAAAACCCGGUGGAAACAAGUCACAAGCUUCUAAUAGAAAUACUAAGUGUCUCUAUACCUCAUGUCUAAAGAGAAUCAGGAAAAUAACAUAAUAAGGAUAGAGGGGGACUCCGAGAUCUGCAGAUGCUGGCAGAUAUACCUUGAAGUCUCCAUGUGUGGUCUCACUCACUGGUAUCUAGUCUGGUGGGAAGAACCUGGAUCUGCACAAAAGAUGUGCAGAGUGUAGUAUGAGUACGCCACAACGGUAGCCAGUAAGUGCCAAGCCUAACCUCGGUAGAGUAGUGACGAGGUCAGGUCAGGGCCCUAAUGGUUUAAAAGAAAAGUAAGACAAAAGAUAUAAUAAUAUUUUGAAAUGACUAAGAAUUUAAACAAUAAGAAGUUUCGGACAAUAUCAGCACAAUAAAUAGAGGUACACAGCAGGGGCACUCCUGAUGUACCGCCUCGUUGUCCCAAAUAUAAAGAUGCGGUACAGGGGGAUCUCUCGAGGAACCACUUCGUAGUCCCAAAGUAAAUAUGCAGUACAGAGGGAUCUCCCGAGUAAACGCCUCGUAGCCCCAAAGUAAAUAUGCAGUACAGGGGGGAUCUCCCGAGUAAACGCCUCGUAGUCCCAAAGUAAAUAUGCAGUACAGGGGGGAUCUCCCGAGUAAACGCCUCAUUGUCCCAAAGUAAAUAUGCAGUAUAGGGGGAUCUUCUGAGGAACCGCCUCGUAGUCCCAAAGUAAAUAUGUAGCACAUAAUCGAAGGAAAACACAAAUUUUUAGCAAGAAUCUUACAGUUAAAGAUUUAAUUCAAAUUAAGGGAAAAUAGGUAAUUCAACUAAGCAUGUGGCACAAAUUGCAAGUAAGAGUUAAGGCACGUAGACAUGCGAUACUAGGCUAAACAAGGUCACUACAUAUGCUAAGGCAACUCAGUUAAUGUAUUUUGAAAGAAGACAACUCAGAUAAGGAAAUUCAAAAGAUGACAAAUCAGCAAGAACCGAAUUUUCCAUAUUCAAUCCGUGCACGCACUUGUCACCUCGCGUACACAGCGCUCAUAUAUCACAAAUGGUUACAACAAUUCCAAAACCUAAGGGAAUUUUUCCCCACACAAGGUUAGACAAGUCACUUACCUCAAAUAUCGCUCAAUCAAUCGAUAAGAAUGCCUUUCUCUUGAUUUUUCAACUCUGAAUGGCCCAAAUCUAGCCAAAAGCAAUUUCAUAACAUGAAUAUAAUUACAAGAAACUAAUUUAAAUCAUAAAUCUAUGACUUUAUUAAGGAAUCAAAAAAUCGCCUCAAAAAGUCGACCCGGGGUCACGUCUCGGAAUCGCGUAAAAGUCACAAAAUACGAACACCCAUUCAAUAUCGAGUUCACCCAUACCAAAACUGCCAAAAUCCGACGCCAAGUCUCCCCUCAAAUCCCCAAAUUACACUUUCCAAAUCCCUAGCCUCAACUCCCACAUUCCACCUUAAACACACACAAUCUAGGUGGGGAAAACAACGGAAAAAUAAGAUUAUUGACCAAAAAUAAGCACAAGGGACUUACCUCAAUAAAUCCCUCGAAAAUGCUCUCAAAAAUUGCCAAACCCGAGCUCAAAUGUCCAACAAAUGAUAAAAAUCCCGAGCCCUUGAAUUUAUAGAAUCUGCCCAGGCUUUCCGCUUUUGCGGACCAAAUUCCGCUUCUGUGGCGAAGUCUCUCCAUCUGCGGAGUUCACUUGAAUCCCCAGGUUCCGCACCCACACGCAAAUCUCCGCAUUUGUUGAUGCACUUCUGCAGUCCCUCGUCUGCUUCUGUGGAAGCCUCCCCAAGCACUCUCCCGCUUCUGCGAUCGAUCCCCCACAGAAGCGACUCCGCUUCUGCGGCCCUCAUACUGCACCUGUGACCACUGGCAAAUUCCCCUAGCUCCGCACUUGUGCCCCACUGCUCGCACCUGCGGUCAACCUUGCGCAGGUGCGAUUACACCAGAACCAGCCCAGCACCAGCAAAUCUUCUAAGUUCAAAAAUGAUCCAUUAACCAUCCGAAACUUACCCGAGGCCUCCGGGACCUCAACCAAAUAUACCAACAAGACAUAAAAUAUCACACGAACUUAGUCGAGCCUUUAAAUCACAUCAAAUAAUGCUAAAAACACGAAUUACACAUCGAUUCAAGCCUAAUGAACUUCAAAGUUUCAAACUUCUACAUCCGACGCCGAAACCUAUCAAAUCAAGUCUGAUUGACCUCAAAUUUUGCACACAAGUCAUAAUUGACAUUACGGGCCUACUACAACUUUCGGAAUCGGAAUCCGACCUCGAUAUCAAAAAGUCCACUCCCGGUCAAACUUCUCAAAAGUCAUCCUUUUUCCAACUUUCGCCAAUUAGCGCUAAAAUGACCUACGGACCUCCAAUUCAACAUCUGAACACGCUUCUAAGAUCAAAAUCACCCUACGGAACUAUAAGAACCGUCAAAACUCCAUUCCGGGAUUGUCUUCAUACAGUUCGAACUACGGUCAAUUCCUAUGACUUAAACCUCCAUUUUAGGGACUAUGUGUCCCAUUUCACUCCGAAAUCAAAACAAAUCCUCCCGGCAAGUCAUAAAACCCAAAAAUGAAUUAGAGGGAACAGUAAAUAGGGGUUCGGGAUUAAUUCCCUCAAAACGGCCGGCCGGGUCGUUACAAUUAUAAAUAAAUAACUUUGACUUUUCUAGAUCCUUUUACCCAUUAAAAAACGUACUCCAAAAUUUAGAAGAAAAAACUUAUACAUAAAAAAAGGUAAACUGAUACCCUAAAAUUCCUACCAUAAAUAAAUGAGAAAAAUAGUUUUCAAGAAGGAAUCAAUUAUUUACAAUUCCAAAUUCUCGGUAACUUUGCUACUUAUCAAACAAAAACUUAUGAAUUGUUUAUUUACCUUUUUAAUUAUUCCAUUUUGAUUUUUAAAAAUGUCGUGUUUUUAUAUCAAACGUAUAAUUUAAUUUUUUAUUUUAUUUUUUGGAAAGCAACAAGUUCAUAUAAUUCAAUAUAAGAAACGAACCAUCCUUGCUUCUUUAUAAAAUUAUAGUUAAUGUNNNNNNNNNNNNNNNNNGUUAAUGUGUCUUUGUCUCCAAAAACAAAAAUAUUAUUACACUAACAACUAAUUAUGUAUCAACAUAUCUUUUUGUAACAUUGAUAGAUAAUAUUACCCUUCAACGUACUAUUUCUUCAAAACAUUAUAUAUAUAAAAUUAUUUAAUAAUGAAUAAUAGAUAAAAGUAUAGAAUAUUCAUGGUUCCUUAUAUAAUUGUGAUAUCCUCUUUAUUGUUCGUUUUCUUAGAAUAAUACAAGCAUGUUAUAUUCAUCUUAAUCUUUUAAGUUGUUUUCUAUAAAGAAGUUUAGAGAAUAUAAACUGACUUACAUACGAUCGUGAGUAAUGCUAAUACAAAUAAACAUAUUGUGCUUAUUCUGAGCUUUUAAACUAAAUACAAAGCCCAUAUAUUGAAAUUCAAUAAGACAUAUCAGGACUUUGUGGGGUGACGUUUCUUUUCUUAUAAAAUUAGUUACACAAAUUAACAUUCAUAUUUUUAAGAAGUUAACUAUUUCCUUUAGUUUAAAUUCUAUAUCAAAAUAUUUUUAAUAAUGUUUAUGUGAUUUUUAUAAAGAUUUUGAUCGUAACAUGGGUACACGCGCAUCGCGCGAAUCCUAAGACUAGUUCCCUAAAUUUCGUCUGGCGAUUUUCGACCGAAAUCCGUCGAAGAGCAAACCGUCCACUUUCGGUCGGAAAUGGCCAAAAUAGUAUUUUUCCUUUUUUAUAAUUGAACCGACCCAAGUUGGUCGAUAAAUUUAGUGCCAAUGCUCGAGAAAUAUAAUUUGUGUCCGUAAUUUCAAUAUUCCGACCGAAAUUAGUCGGUAUCGAGUCAAACUUUGACUUCCACUACAAGAAAAUCACGAAUUACAUGGGGAUUUUCUUGCCGAUUAUAUAGGACAAUUCCCAUGUAAUUUAGUUUCUUGCGGAUUUUCCUUCAAACAAAAAUCUGAUGGAAAAACCUUCGUGGGUAAACAAAAAUCCUUGUUCCCCUGCAUAAGACUCCCCGUAUGCACUUUUACUAUUUUUUGACCUGCAUGGAUGGUUAGUUCGGAAUUUGAAAGGGUUCGGGUUGAAAUCGGAACACUUCGUUCCUUGGUUUGGCUUUAAAAGGCUAAGUUUGACUUUGGUCAACAUUUUGAAUAAACGACCUCGGAACCGAGAUUUGACGGUUCCAAUAGGUUUGUAUGUCAAUUUUGAACUUGGGCAUAUAUUCGGAUCGGAUUUUGGAUGAUCCGGGAGCAUUUUAAUGCUUAAUGUUGAAAGUUGGCUUAUUGAAGGUUUAAAAGUUCUUUAAAUAUAGUUUGGAGUAGGUUUUAGUGUUAUCGAGGUCCGUUUGGGAUUUUAAGCCUGGGAAUAGUUCUGUAUAGUGAUUUAAGACUUGCACGCAAAAUUUGGUGUCAUUCCGAGUAGUUUAGGUAUGAUUCGGCGCGUUCGGAGCAAGUUGAAUGAACUUUAAGUUCAAAUAUUGAUUCGAUUGAGUUUGGGAUGUGAUUCUUAGUUUUGGUGUUAUUUUCGGCAUUUCAAGGGUUCGAGCAAGUCCGUCUCAUGAUUUCAAACUUGUUAGUACGUUUGAGCGAGGCCUCGGGGGCCCCAGAUGCCAUUCGGACGAUGCGCGGAAGUCAUUUGGCCUUAGUUGGAUAGCGGAAGCACCAAGCUUCUGAUGCAAUCGCACCUGCGGAGGGCUAGCCGCAGGUGCGAGCUCGCAUAAGUGAGCUAGCAGCGGCAGAAGCGGCCCAGCAUUGGCUGCCCAAUGAUCGAAAAAGCGAGGCAGGGACCGCACUUGUGGAGGCGCAGGUGUGAAGCAUGCGAUUGUAGAAGCGGAAUAGGGUCACAGGUGUGACGCGCUCUCUGCAGAAGCGAGCUCACAGAUGCGAGCCGUUGGUCGCAGAAGUGGAAAAGGUCGACCUGGGUUUGGUCCGCACCUGCAUGGUUUUGUCCGCAGAAGCGGAACCGCAGGUGCGGCAGUGUCAUCGCAGGUGCGAAAAAUCGCUGGGCAGUGAGAUUCAUUUAAGUCAGGAGUUAAACCAUUUUUGACUCAUUUUCUUUCAUUUAUUGGGCAAUUUUGGAGCUUUUGGAAAGGGGUUUUCACCUAGCACUCGGAGGUAAAUAAUUUUUAUACAAUACGAGUUUAAGACAUAGAUUAUGGGUAGAUUUUAACUUGUAAAAUUAUGAAAAUCAUGGGUUUAGAUGAAAAACCUAGGUUUUGAUAUUAAAAAAAUGGAAUUUAACCACGAAAAUGAUUAUGGAAUGGGAUAAAAAUUAUAUAUUUGAGUUCGUAAGGUUAUUGGUAAAAAUUUUCUUCGCAAAUUCCCGGAAUCCGGGCAUGAGGGCCUAGGGGUGAAUUUUAGGAAUCUUCCAAUUUAGGUUGGGUAAUUACUCUAGUAGUUAAAUUAUGAACUUUUGAACAUGUAAUGACUAAAUUAUAUAACAUUUGACUAGUUCCGAGUCGUUUGACACCGAGUUGAUGCUUUAGAGCGAAUUUGACACCGGAAAAAGAGCUUUGAGACAAGGUAAGUCUCUUGCCAAACCUUGUAAGAAUGAAUUUACCCUCUAGGUGAUUUAAAUUUCUAUUUGAUUCUAAUUGUGGGCGCUACGCUGCACUGACCGUGUAGGAUCUGAGGCAAGUGCAUCUGGCGAUCUCACCGGCGCGCAUCCCCAUUACCCGGAGGCGUAGUGGUGAGCUGCUUCCUGAGCCGUUCUGCAACACCUAAAGUCUCUCCUUUGCAUUCAUUUUUAUCUACUUUCAUUUCAGACACUAGCUAGAGUUUUGUAUAAUCUAUUAGUGCUCAUAUACUUGUGACACCAGGUCUUGGCACACACUAGUAGACUUUGUGCUUUUUGAUUAUUACUAUGGUUAUGAUUCACUCAGUUACUUUCGUUUUCUUUAUUUAAAUCUGUUGUUUCUUAACAUUUUAAUUAAGAAAAAAUUUAAU
Molecule: long non-coding RNA, 21810 nt
Filed under: Nicotiana tabacum (common tobacco)
Lineage: Eukaryota; Viridiplantae; Streptophyta; Magnoliopsida; Solanales; Solanaceae
Description: long non-coding RNA (NTAB_LNC013934)
Source: RNAcentral